This 438-nucleotide ribosomal RNA is filed under the name uncultured bacterium. RNAcentral describes it as "bacterial SSU rRNA". It matches the Rfam family "Bacterial small subunit ribosomal RNA", at positions 338 to 795 of the family's 1533-position model. The record is from RNAcentral.
CCUACGGGAUGCACCAGUGGGGAAUAUUGGACAAUGGGCGAAAGCCUGAUCCAGCAAUGCCGCGUGUGAAGAAGGUCCUCGGAUUGUAAAGCACUUUCGACGGGGACGAUGAUGACGGUACCCGUAGAAGAAGCCCCGGCUAACUUCGUGCCAGCAGCCGCGGUAAUACGAAGGGGGCUAGCGUUGCUCGGAGUGACUGGGCGUAAAGGGCGCGUAGGCGGUUUAUGCAGUCAGAUGUGAAAGCCCCGGGCUUAACCUGGGAACUGCAUUUGAGACGCAUAGACUAGAGGUCGAGAGAGGGUUGUGGAAUUCCCAGUGUAGAGGUGAAAUUCGUAGAUAUUGGGAAGAACACCGGUGGCGAAGGCGGCAACCUGGCUCGAUACUGACGCUGAGGCGCGAAAGCGUGGGGAGCAAACAGGAUUAGAUACCCGGGUAGUC